UGUUUAAAAGCAAUGAGGGGAUGCCUUGGGUAAAAAAGCGUAUGAAGGACGUAGUUGGUUGCGAAAAGCUUCGGUAAGGUGCCAACAACCGAUUGGAACCGGAGAUAUCCGAAUGGGGAAACCUACUCCGUAUAGCGGAGUGCCGUAUAGGCCAAGACCUGGUGAAGUGAAAUAUCUCAGUAGCCAGAGGAAAAGAAAUCGUAAAGAGAUUCCCGUAGUAGUGACGAGCGAACUGGGAAGAGUCCAAACUUAUAUAGUGUAAGGUGCUAGCCGUUGCUAUAUAAAGGGUUGUAGGGUUGUUUAGAGUCGUCUAGUAGCGAUUCAGGGAGAGAGUCUUUCUUUAGAAGAAAUAUCUGAAAAGGUAUACCAUAGGGGGUGAAAGUCCCGUAUUCAAAAAAGAAAUACCACCCAAGCAAUUCCUGAGUAGUGUCAAACACGAGAAAUUUGGCAUGAAUCCGCCCAGACCACUGGGUAAGACUAAAUACUUUUUUACACCGAUAGCGCAUAGUACCGUGAGGGAAAGGUGAAAAGAACCCCAGGAGGGUAGUGAAAUAGAACCUGAAACUUAUUACUUACAAAUAGUAGGAGCCCUAUAUGGGUGACUGCGUACCUUUUGUAGAAUGGGCCUGCGAGUUACUGUAUGUAGCAAGGUUAAG
This 656-nucleotide ribosomal RNA is filed under the name Candidatus Altimarinota bacterium. RNAcentral describes it as "partial 23S ribosomal RNA". It matches the Rfam family "Bacterial large subunit ribosomal RNA", at positions 1 to 650 of the family's 2925-position model. The record is from RNAcentral. RNAcentral also lists the same sequence under 1 other name. Lineage: Bacteria; Candidatus Altimarinota.